UGCAGUCGAACGGUUGUAGCAUACAGCAGUGGCAGACGGGUGAGUAACACGUGGGAACCUUCCUAGGGGUACGGAACAACUCAGGGAAACUUGAGCUAAUACCGUAUACGUCCGUAAGGAGAAAGAUUCAUCGCCCCUAGACGGGCCCGCGUAGGAUUAGGUAGUUGGUGAGGUAACGGCUCACCAAGCCUACGAUCCUUAGCUGAUCUGAGAGGAUGAUCAGCCACACUGGGACUGAGACACGGCCCAGACUCCUACGGGAGGCAGCAGUGGGGAAUCUUGGACAAUGGGCGCAAGCCUGAUCCAGCCAUGCCGCGUGAGUGAAGAAGGCCUUCGGGUUGUAAAGCUCUUUUACCAGGGACGAUAAUGACGGUACCUGGAGAAUAAGCCCCGGCAAACUUCGUGCCAGCAGCCGCGGUAAUACGAAGGGGGCUAGCGUUGUUCGGAAUUACUGGGCGUAAAGCGCGCGUAGGCGGAUUGUUAAGUCAGAGGUGAAAUCCCGGAGCUCAACUUCGGAACUGCCUUUGAUACUGGCAAUCUAGAGUCCGGAAGAGGUUAGUGGAAUUCCCAGUGUAGAGGUGAAAUUCGUAGAUAUUGGGAAGAACACCAGUGGCGAAGGCGGCUAACUGGUCCGGUACUGACGCUGAGGUGCGAAAGCGUGGGGAGCNAACAGGAUUAGAUACCCUGGUAGUCCACGCCGUAAACUAUGGGUGCUAGCCGUUGGGAAGCUUGCUUUUCAGUGGCGCAGCUAACGCAUUAAGCACCCCGC
Molecule: ribosomal RNA, 769 nt
Filed under: uncultured microorganism
Description: bacterial SSU rRNA
Rfam family: Bacterial small subunit ribosomal RNA
Source: RNAcentral